This 270-nucleotide ribosomal RNA is filed under the name uncultured Funneliformis. RNAcentral describes it as "partial large subunit ribosomal RNA". It matches the Rfam family "Eukaryotic large subunit ribosomal RNA", at positions 25 to 287 of the family's 3401-position model. The record is from RNAcentral. Lineage: Eukaryota; Fungi; Glomeromycota; Glomeromycetes; Glomerales; Glomeraceae.
CCGCUGAACUUAAGCAUAUCAAUAAGCGGAGGAAAAGAAAAUAACAAUGAUUCCCUCAGUAACGGCGAGCGAAGAGGGAUAAGCUCAAAUUUUAAAUCUGUUGGGUUCCGCUUAACAGAGUUGUAUUUUGAAGAAACGUUUUCUGCAUCCAGGAUUAGCCUAAAUCCUUUGGGAUAAGGUAUCAUGGAGGGUGAGAAUCCCGUUCAUGGUUAAUCUUAAGGAAGCUCUAUGAUACGUUUUCCAAGAGUCGAGUUGUUUGGGAAUGCAGCU